This 600-nucleotide ribosomal RNA is filed under the name uncultured bacterium. Its description in RNAcentral is "bacterial SSU rRNA". It matches the Rfam family "Bacterial small subunit ribosomal RNA", at positions 91 to 684 of the family's 1533-position model. The record is from RNAcentral.
GAGAGCGGCGUACGGGUUGCGGAACACGUGUGCAACAGCUUUAUCUGGGGGAUAGCCUUUCGAAAGGAAGAUUAAUACCCCAUAAUAUGUUGGAUGGCAUCAUUCGACAUUGAAAACUCCGGUGGAUAGAGGUGGGCACGCGCAAGAUUAGAUAGUUGGUGAGGUAACGGCUCACCAAGUCUACGAUCUUUAGGGGGCCUGAGAGGGUGAUCCCCCACACUGGUACUGAGACACGGACCAGACUCCUACGGGAGGCAGCAGUGAGGAAUAUUGGACAAUGGGUGAGAGCCUGAUCCAGCCAUCCCGCGUGAAGGACGACUGGCCUAUGGGUUGUAAACUUCUUUUGUAUAGGGAUAAACCUACCCUCGUGAGGGUAGCUGAAGGUACUAUACGAAUAAGCACCGGUAACUCCGUGCCAGCAGCCGCGGUAAUACGGAGGGUGCAAGCGUUAUCCGGAUUUAUUGGGUUUAAAGGGUCCGUAGGCGGAUCUGUAAGUCAGUGGGUGAAAUCUCCACAGUUUACUGUGGAAACUGGCCAUUGAUUACUGCAGGUCUUGAGUGUUGUUGAAGUUAGCUGGGAAUAAAGUAGUGUAACGGGUGG